GCCGGGAAAGUUCGUCAAACUCGGUCAUUUAGAGGAAGUAAAAGUCGUAACAAGGUUUCCGUAGGUGAACCUGCGGAAGGAUCAUUACCUAGAGUUGUAGGCUUUGCCUGCUAUCUCUUACCCAUGUCUUUUGAGUACUUACGUUUCCUCGGCGGGUCCGCCCGCCGAUUGGACAAUUUAAACCAUUUGCAGUUGCAAUCAGCGUCUGAAAAACUUUAAUAGUUACAACUUUCAACAACGGAUCUCUUGGUUCUGGCAUCGAUGAAGAACGCAGCGAAAUGCGAUAAGUAGUGUGAAUUGCAGAAUUCAGUGAAUCAUCGAAUCUUUGAACGCACAUUGCGCCCCUUGGUAUUCCAUGGGGCAUGCCUGUUCGAGCGUCAUUUGUACCUUCAAGCUUUGCUUGGUGUUGGGUGUUUGUCUCGCCUCUGCGUGUAGACUCGCCUCAAAACAAUUGGCAGCCGGCGUAUUGAUUUCGGAGCGCAGUACAUCUCGCGCUUUGCACUCAUAACGACGACGUCCAAAAGUACAUUUUUACACUCUUGACCUCGGAUCAGGUAGGGAUACCCGCUGAACUUAAGCAUAUCAAUAAGCGGAGGAAAAGAAACCAACAGGGAUUGCCCUAGUAACGGCGAGUGAAGCGGCAACAGCUCAAAUUUGAAAUCUGGCGUCUUCGGCGUCCGAGUUGUAAUUUGCAGAGGGCGCUUUGGCAUCGGCAGCGGUCCAAGUUCCUUGGAACAGGACG
This 742-nucleotide ribosomal RNA is filed under the name uncultured Phoma. Its description in RNAcentral is "eukaryotic LSU rRNA". The stretch from base 227 to 380 matches the Rfam family "5.8S ribosomal RNA". Lineage: Eukaryota; Fungi; Ascomycota. The record is from RNAcentral.